RNAcentral lists this transfer RNA (73 nucleotides) under Candidatus Woesearchaeota archaeon. RNAcentral's name for it is "tRNA-Thr". It matches the Rfam family "tRNA". From Rfam's summary of the family: Transfer RNA (tRNA) molecules are approximately 80 nucleotides in length. Lineage: Archaea; Nanobdellati; Candidatus Woesearchaeota. The record is from RNAcentral.
GCCUCCGUAGCAUAGUGGCUAAUGCACCUGACUUGUAAUCAGGAGAUCCCGGUUUCGAAUACCGGCGGAGGCU